RNAcentral lists this ribosomal RNA (465 nucleotides) under uncultured Streptococcus sp. RNAcentral describes it as "bacterial SSU rRNA". It matches the Rfam family "Bacterial small subunit ribosomal RNA", at positions 338 to 795 of the family's 1533-position model. The record is from RNAcentral. Lineage: Bacteria; Bacillati; Bacillota; Bacilli; Lactobacillales; Streptococcaceae.
CCUACGGGAUGCAGCAGUAGGGAAUCUUCGGCAAUGGGGGCAACCCUGACCGAGCAACGCCGCGUGAGUGAAGAAGGUUUUCGGAUCGUAAAGCUCUGUUGUAAGUCAAGAUCGAGUGUGAGAGUGGAAAGUUCACACUGUGACGGUAGCUUACCGGAAAGGGACGGCUAACUACGUGCCAGCAGCCGCGGUAAUACGUAGGUCCCGAGCGUUGUCCGGAUUUAUUGGGCGUAAAGCGAGCGCAGGCGGUUUGAUAAGUCUGAAGUUAAAGGCUGUGGCUCAACCAUAGUUCGCUUUGGAAACUGUCAAACUUGAGUGCAGAAGGGGAGAGUGGAAUUCCAUGUGUAGCGGUGAAAUGCGUAGAUAUAUGGAGGAACACCGGUGGCGAAAGCGGCUCUCUGGUCUGUAACUGACGCUGAGGCUCGAAAGCGUGGGGAGCGAACAGGAUUAGAUACCCUAGUAGUC